CUAUGUAUUCCUAAAAGUGAGGGUGUUAUGGGAUUUCGAGACCUUUACUCUUUUAAUCUAGCUAUGUUAGCUAAAUAAUGAUGGAGGUUAAUUACGGAUCCAAACUCACUAGUCACGAAGGUUUUAAAGCCUAAAUAUUAUCUAGAUGGUUCUCUCCUUGAGGCUACACCGAAGAAUGGUUUUUCUUUCAUAUGGCAAAGCAUACUUAUGGGAUUGGAGACUUUUUAA
This 228-nucleotide ribosomal RNA is filed under the name Triticum aestivum (bread wheat). RNAcentral describes it as "partial small subunit ribosomal RNA". Lineage: Eukaryota; Viridiplantae; Streptophyta; Magnoliopsida; Poales; Poaceae. The record is from RNAcentral.